This 228-nucleotide ribosomal RNA is filed under the name uncultured bacterium. RNAcentral's name for it is "partial 16S ribosomal RNA". It matches the Rfam family "Bacterial small subunit ribosomal RNA", at positions 568 to 795 of the family's 1533-position model. The record is from RNAcentral.
UCCGUAGGCGGGCAAUUAAGUCAGAGGUGAAAUCCCACAGCUCAACUGUGGAACUGCCUUUGAUACUGGUUGUCUUGAGUUACAGUGAAGUAGAUAGAAUAUGUAGUGUAGCGGUGAAAUGCAUAGAUAUUACAUAGAAUACCGAUUGCGAAGGCAGUCUACUAACUGUCGACUGACGCUAAGGGACGAAAGCGUGGGGAGCGAACAGGAUUAGAUACCCUGGUAGUC